GGCCUGGAAGAUUGCCGUAAAAACGUGGAGAAUUUAGAAAGAAAUAUCGAGGCAAAUGAAAAGGCCCUAACAGACUGCGAUGCAAGUUACGCAAAAUCAAAAGAGGACUUUGGAAUACUUCAGGAAAAGUGCAAACUUGACCUCGACGCAAAAGAUACA
This is a long non-coding RNA of Leucoraja erinaceus (little skate), 159 nucleotides long. RefSeq lists it as uncharacterized. The record is from RefSeq and is a predicted model, not a curated record. The transcript has 6 exons. Lineage: Eukaryota; Metazoa; Chordata; Chondrichthyes; Rajiformes; Rajidae.